This 728-nucleotide ribosomal RNA is filed under the name uncultured bacterium. Its description in RNAcentral is "bacterial SSU rRNA". It matches the Rfam family "Bacterial small subunit ribosomal RNA", at positions 107 to 834 of the family's 1533-position model. The record is from RNAcentral.
UGAGUAACACGUAUCCAACCUGCCCUUUACUCGGGGAUAGCCUUUCGAAAGAAAGAUUAAUACCCGAUGGCAUAAUGAUUCCGCAUGGUUUCAUUAUUAAAGGAUUCCGGUAAAGGAUGGGGAUGCGUUCCAUUAGGUUGUUGGUGAGGUAACGGCCCACCAAGCCUUCGAUGGAUAGGGGUUCUGAGAGGAAGGUCCCCCACAUUGGAACUGAGACACGGUCCAAACUCCUACGGGAGGCAGCAGUGAGGAAUAUUGGUCAAUGGGCGCUAGCCUGAACCAGCCAAGUAGCGUGAAGGAUGAAGGCUCUAUGGGUCGUAAACUUCUUUUAUAUAAGAAUAAAGUGCAGUAUGUAUACUGUUUUGUAUGUAUUAUAUGAAUAAGGAUCGGCUAACUCCGUGCCAGCAGCCGCGGUAAUACGGAGGAUCCGAGCGUUAUCCGGAUUUAUUGGGUUUAAAGGGAGCGUAGGUGGACUGGUAAGUCAGUUGUGAAAGUUUGCGGCUCAACCGUAAAAUUGCAGUUGAUACUGUCAGUCUUGAGUACAGUAGAGGUGGGCGGAAUUCGUGGUGUAGCGGUGAAAUGCUUAGAUAUCACGAAGAACUCCGAUUGCGAAGGCAGCUCACUGGACUGCAACUGACACUGAUGCUCGAAAGUGUGGGUAUCAAACAGGAUUAGAUACCCUGGUAGUCCACACAGUAAACGAUGAAUACUCGCUGUUUGCGAUAUAC